Molecule: Y RNA, 96 nt
Filed under: Prolemur simus (greater bamboo lemur)
Lineage: Eukaryota; Metazoa; Chordata; Mammalia; Primates; Lemuridae
Description: Y RNA (ENSPSMG00000017346.1)
Rfam family: Y RNA
About the family: Y RNAs are components of the Ro ribonucleoprotein particle (Ro RNP), in association with Ro60 and La proteins. The Y RNAs and Ro60 and La proteins are well conserved, but the function of the Ro RNP is not known. In humans the RNA component can be one of four small RNAs -- hY1, hY3, hY4 and hY5.
Source: Rfam by way of RNAcentral
GGCUGGUCUGAUGGUAGUGGGUUAUCAGAACUUAUUAACAUUAGUGUCACUAAAGUUGGUAUUCAACCCCCCACUGCUAAAUUUGACUGGUUUUAA